CCGCCUCGGCCCCCGCCCCAGCCUCCGCCCCAGCUCCCGCCCCCGCGGGAGCUCGCCGCAGACUUCAUCUGGACCCCUGGUCCCGCGGGCGCCCGGCAGUCUCCAAGGCACAGGACGCAAACCUGGGGUCCAGUCCUGGCCACCUGCUUGCUGUCUAGUCUCGGGAAGCUUACCUGACUCUGUCCCCGAGAAUCUUGUUUGAAAUGGGGCAAGUUUUUGAACUAAGUCUCAUCAUCCUGCAUGUAAAAUAGAACCUAUCGCAAAGCACCAAGGACAGCAACAAACCGGCCAACACACGGCUUUAGUGUCAGCACCACGGACAGCCACAAAAUGGGUGCCGUUUUCACUACUGGUGGCAGUUUUGGGGGCCAAGCCGAGAGCUCGGCCUGUGGGUACGUGGUGUAAGCAACUGGGUGAGCUCCUUAAUAAUGGAGCUAAGUGUCUGUUUCAAAGAGACAAACAGUACCUGAAGAUCAGGGUACAUGUGGGGCAGAGCAUGCUGAAUGCUCCAUAUGUACACAUAUUAAAAGCUUUUCUUCCAUCUUGGUCUUCAAUUCUCUCUGUCUUACAUUCAUCAACAAAAAUACCAGCUCUGGUUGUC
Molecule: non-coding RNA, 601 nt
Organism: Heterocephalus glaber (naked mole-rat)
Lineage: Eukaryota; Metazoa; Chordata; Mammalia; Rodentia; Bathyergidae
Source: RefSeq, a predicted model, not a curated record